Molecule: ribosomal RNA, 460 nt
Filed under: uncultured bacterium
Lineage: Bacteria
Description: partial 16S ribosomal RNA
Rfam family: Bacterial small subunit ribosomal RNA
Source: RNAcentral
CCUACGGGGGGCAGCAGUGAGGAAUAUUGGUCAAUGGGCGUAAGCCUGAACCAGCCAAGUCGCGUGAGGGAUGAAGGUUCUAUGGAUCGUAAACCUCUUUUAUAAGGGAAUAAAGUGUGGGACGUGUCCUGUUUUGUAUGUACCUUAUGAAUAAGGAUCGGCUAACUCCGUGCCAGCAGCCGCGGUAAUACGGAGGAUCCGAGCGUUAUCCGGUUUUAUUGGGUUUAAAGGGUGCGUAGGCGGCCGUUUAAGUCAGCGGUGAAAGUCUGUGGCUCAACCAUAGAAUUGCCGUUGAAACUGGGAGGCUUGAGUAUGUUUGAGGCAGGCGGAAUGCGUGGUGUAGCGGUGAAAUGCUUAGAUAUAACGCAGAACCCCGAUUGCGAAGGCAGCCUGCCAAGCCAUGACUGACGCUGAUGCACGAAAGCGUGGGGAUCAAACAGGAUUAGAUACCCCAGUAGUC